GUUUUUGCUGCACAUUGAAAGUUGACUGAAUUGGAAACCUCUGAUGGCCAACCUGUUCCUUUGACAUCAAUGCUGUAAUCCAUGCUUCUCCUCCAACCUCCUUUUCUGACCACUCAAGCACAUUGAAAGCAGCAAUCAGGAUUCCUGAGUUAUGACAAAUCUUUCUUCCAUGACAUGAUGGAUUCUUGUAUUCUAUUCUUCGUAUGCAACUUGAUCAUGUAACAGGAACACCAUAAGAAGGAAACACAAACAUAGGCACAGGAGUGGCUGUGUGGUAAUAUAGAGAUGGAUCUCUCCAGAGAGAUGAUGGAUAAAUAGAUAGACAGAUCAAUAGACAUACAUUCCUACCUACCUAAACUCACCUGCUCACCUACCUACAUGUGUGGGUAAGUAUAUCUUUCACUAUAUCCUUCUAUAGUUCCUCUUUCUGUCUCCCAUUCUAUUGAUCUGCUCAUCAAUCAAACAUUGAGAUCCAAGCAACUACUGACAAAUUGCUUAAGGUAGAAGUAUAUGAUAAGUAAAUAUUUUCAAUAUCCUCUAAUUGUGUCUCAAAUCUAGCAAUCAUUGUAGUUCUUGAAGAAUGGCGAAUAACAUUUUUCAUUUUUAAUAAUCAAGUCAUUUGAAAGGAAUAGUUCAUAUGAAAAGAAUCACUCUUUACAGCAUAAAAGUCUUAAGUUUGUGUUGUUGACAUGGCCAGGUUAAAUCAUUACAGACUUCACAAUUAACAAACCCUAUACUUCAUCAUUAUCAUCAUCACUUAACGUCUGUUUUCCGUGUAAGCAUGGGUUGGAUGGUUUGACAGGGGAUGGCAGUCCAAAGGACCAUGUCAAGCUCUAUUGUCUGUUCAGGAAUGGCUUCUACAGCUGGAUGCCCUUCCAAAAGUCAAUCACUUUACAGAAAGUACUGGGUGCAUUUUUCAUGGUACCUGCAUUGAUGGGGUCACCAAGUACCUUGUCAGUCAAGACAAAGUCCCCAUGAUUGGAGGGAGUAAUUGAGGUAGAUGGCUUUGUGCCUAUUGAUGAGAGAUUUAAAGAAUAGAGGGAUAGAGAGAGGUGUCUCUUUAGGUGUAAAAGGGAUACAGAGAUACCCUAGUUGGAGAAGGGAGUGAGAGACUUCGAGAAAAAGAUAGAGAUAGAAAGAAUGAGAGAGAUGGUGGUGGAUAUAUGUUAGGACAUAUCUUCAAGGUAUAGUGGUGGUGGUGGUGGGGGGGUGAACAGAGGUGAAGUGGUACAGAGGGGCGAGUUUCAUAGGGAUGUGAGAAGAGAUGGUUAGAUGGGAUAAAGGUGACUGUAGUGGUUGAUGGUAAGAGAUAUAAAAGUGGCCCAAGGGGAAGAUAAUGGGGAAUAAAAGAGUGGAAAGAAAGAGGAAGGCAGGAAAAGGAGAGAAUGUACUAUGUGCUGAUUCUGCUCUCAGAGGAUUAUGGUAGCCGAAGAAGUGAUGAGUGUUAAGGAAUAAGAUGUGUGUGUGUGUGUGGGUGGGAAGCUUGAUGGGUCAGUGAGAAUAGAGGUGGGGCAGAGCUCUACAUAUAUUUACCAAGGUGGUUUUGGAUAUUAAUUCUGUUGUGGUGGACAGGUUUUCUAAAGCACAACAAUGUGCCAGGUAUCUUGGUCCUUUGUCAUGUCCUCCAUGAGACUCAGCAUCUUGAGAUCAGCUUUCAAUAUUUGUCCUCUGUUUUCCUGGUUCUUCUUCUGUCACAAUUUCCAUCCACUUCAAACGAUUAGCACUUCUUUAUGCAACAGUCCUCAUCCAAAUGCAUCACACGAUUGAACCAGUGCAAUCUUCUCUCUUGUAUAAUACAUCUAAUUCUUCUUAUGCCGAACUUCUCUCUACUCUCAUAUAUGUACACUGACACUGCACAUCCAAUGGAGCGUACUACCUUCGUUCCUCUCUAGUCUUCACUUAUCUUCUGCAUUUGGGACCCAUGUCUCACUACCAUGUAGCAUUGCUUUUUGUACUUAAGCAUCAUACAAUCUGCCUUUCAGUCAGAGAGAGAGAGAGAGAGAGAAAGACUUUUGGUUGCCAACAGGGGUAAGUGGUCUCUGAAUUUUUUCCAUCCUAUUCUUAUUCUAGCAAUUUCCCUUUUGCAACACCCUCCUCCACUACUUAUUAGGUCAUCUGAGUAGCAGAAGAUAUCUACAGCCUCUAACCUAUAUACUACUCAAAUCUUGAUAGACUUAUCCCUUCUAAUAAUAUAUGACAAUAGAACCUUUAAAAACUUAAAAUAUUAUUUCAGUAUCAGCUUGACAUAUUUUAAUCACUGGACUAAGGCCAUUCUUAUUCAUAUCAAUCUCUUCAGUACCUGACUGAUUUCAUUGCCCCCAGAAAAAUGGAAAGCAAAGACGAUCAGGGCAAAAUUUGAACCUGGAAUAUAAAGAGUGAGUUACCCGACACCAAAAAACAUUUUGUUUGAUACUUUGCCAUCUUCAGUCACAUCUGUACAUAUUCUCAUCUCAAAUUUUGAUAGUAAAGUUGCAAUUAUCUUAAUUACUCAUUAUACAACUUCUUAAGGAUUUAUCAGCCAGAGAAAUGGUGUAAUAUAUAUUGUAUGCUAAACUAACUUCAUCAAAUGUACCUAAUAAAUUAGAAGAUGUAACCUACAGCUCAUGAGCAAUUAGUGAAGCUUAGGUAUUCAAAAGAAAUAAAAAUGUUUUUAUUUUGCUACUCAGAAAUUUAAAUGUUCUGGGUCAGUUUCCUUAAGUUUGGGCUAAUAGUUUCAUGAGGUUUUCUAUAUUUUGAGAAAGCUUUUUCUGCAAUGGUAGGUUUACCAGUUAUUAGCUGCCGGAUAUAAAACAGGAAUGUGCUAUAAAAUGAAAGAAGAGAAGAAAUAUAGAAAAUAAAGGGACACCAGUUUGUUUAGUGUGUAAAUUAACCCAAUGAAUUUAUUUAGGUUUCAAUUAAUUCUUAAUAUAAUUAGAUCUGGAUGAGUAUGAUAAAAUGUCAGUAAUUUUGAAUAUUGAAGCUUACUGAAUUGGUGUUGUCUGACAGA
Octopus bimaculoides (California two-spot octopus) is the source of this 2986-nucleotide long non-coding RNA. The record is from RefSeq and is a predicted model, not a curated record. Lineage: Eukaryota; Metazoa; Mollusca; Cephalopoda; Octopoda; Octopodidae.